RNAcentral lists this ribosomal RNA (561 nucleotides) under uncultured Alphaproteobacteria bacterium. RNAcentral's name for it is "bacterial SSU rRNA". It matches the Rfam family "Bacterial small subunit ribosomal RNA", at positions 338 to 916 of the family's 1533-position model. The record is from RNAcentral. Lineage: Bacteria; Pseudomonadati; Pseudomonadota; Alphaproteobacteria.
CCUACGGGAGGCAGCAGUGGGGAAUAUUGGACAAUGGGCGAAAGCCUGAUCCAGCAAUGCCGCGUGAGUGAUGAAGGCCUUAGGGUUGUAAAGCUCUUUUACCAGGGAUGAUAAUGACAGUACCUGGAGAAUAAGCUCCGGCUAACUCCGUGCCAGCAGCCGCGGUAAUACGGAGGGAGCUAGCGUUGCUCGGAAUCACUGGGCGUAAAGCGUGCGUAGGCGGUGACUCAAGUCAGAGGUGAAAGCCUGGAGCUCAACUCCAGAACUGCCUUUGAAACUAGGUCGCUAGAACAUCGGAGAGGUGAGUGGAAUUCCGAGUGUAGAGGUGAAAUUCGUAGAUAUUCGGAAGAACACCAGUGGCGAAGGCGGCUCACUGGACGAUUGUUGACGCUGAGGCACGAAAGCGUGGGGAGCAAACAGGAUUAGAUACCCUGGUAGUCCACGCCGUAAACGAUGAUAACUAGCUGCCGGGGCACUUGGUGUUUCGGUGGCGCAGCUAACGCAUUAAGUUAUCCGCCUGGGGAGUACGGUCGCAAGAUUAAAACUCAAAGGAAUUGACGG